UGCCAGCCGCCGCGGUAAUACGGAGGGUGCAAGCGUUGUUCGGAAUUAUUGGGCGUAAAGAGCAUGUAGGCGGACUGUUAAGUCUGAUGUGAAAGCCCGGGGCUCAACCCCGGAAGUGCACUUGAAACUAUGAGACUUAAGUCCCGGAGAGGGUGGUGGAAUUCCCGGUGUAGAGGUGAAAUUCGUAGAUAUCGGGAGGAACAUCAGUGGCGAAGGCGACCACCUGGACGGAGACUGACGCUGAGGUGCGAAAGCGUGGGUAGCGAACAGGAUUAGAUA
Molecule: ribosomal RNA, 279 nt
Filed under: uncultured bacterium
Lineage: Bacteria
Description: partial 16S ribosomal RNA
Rfam family: Bacterial small subunit ribosomal RNA
Source: RNAcentral